CAAAGGGACAAGAAGAGCCGAUGCUGACGUCAAAGAACAGAGAGUUACACAAAGGUGUGUGGGCUUUUCACUGAUGUUGACAAAGAGAAUCAACGGAACAUGAUGAAGGCCCAGAAACAAACAAAUAUGUGUGUACAUACAUAUAGAGACAGAGAGAGAGAGAGACAGAGAGGGAAAUGGUUCAUUUUAUGUGUCAACUUGCCCUGGUUCUCAGGCCUUCAGACAGGCUGGGAUGUCACCAUUGACUACCCUGGUUCUUGGGCCUUCGGGCUUGGACUGGACCUACCCCACCAGCUUUCCUGGGCCUCCCACUUGCAGAUGGCAGAUGGAGGGAUUUCUCAGUCUCCAUAAUCAGAAUAGACUAGAGGAAGGAGCGGAAGCAGAGUUGGUCUGAGAAAGCGGGGCUGACGAGGGCAGGCACUUUGUGGAUUAUACACCAGGCCAAGAGUGAUAAUAACGGAUUCUUCCUGCACCUGGCAGUCCACUCGACUCGGAGGCCAUGGCACAUCCCCAGGCUUUGCAGGCAGUGUGGAGCUGCCCGACGAGGCCCCCACUCUUGAAAGACACAGGCUACCCACCCAGGGAGCAGGAAAAUGAAUAAAUACCCUGUAGGGUAAUUGGGGGCUGUUCCCGCCA
This 636-nucleotide long non-coding RNA is filed under the name Equus caballus (horse). Its description in RNAcentral is "lncRNA (ENSECAG00000057363.1)". The record is from RNAcentral. Lineage: Eukaryota; Metazoa; Chordata; Mammalia; Perissodactyla; Equidae.